Molecule: ribosomal RNA, 106 nt
Filed under: Phyllactinia enkianthi
Lineage: Eukaryota; Fungi; Ascomycota; Leotiomycetes; Helotiales; Erysiphaceae
Also listed under: 1 other name
Description: partial 28S ribosomal RNA
Rfam family: Eukaryotic large subunit ribosomal RNA
Source: RNAcentral
UUGACCUCGAAUCAGGUAGGGAUACCCGCUGAACUUAAGCAUAUCAAUAAGCGGAGGAAAAGAAACCAACCGGGAUUACCCUAGUAACGGCGAGUGAAGCGGGCAA